Molecule: long non-coding RNA, 159 nt
Organism: Octopus sinensis (East Asian common octopus)
Lineage: Eukaryota; Metazoa; Mollusca; Cephalopoda; Octopoda; Octopodidae
Exons: 3
Source: RefSeq, a predicted model, not a curated record
UAACAGUAACAAUCUUUUAUUUUUUUAAUCUAAAGUGGUGGGGCUGUGUGGUAAGAAGUUUGCUUCCCAACCACAUGCUUCCAGGUUCAGUCCCACUGUGUGGUUUUUCGAGCAAGUGUCUUCUACUAUAGCCUUAAUCCAACCAAACCUUUGCGAGUA